UUUUUGCUGCUGACAAGUAAAUUUAUGAGAGGUUUAUAUUCUUUUCCACAGUAAAGCUUCCACAGCCAAAAAGUUUGGUUAACCUUGGUUUCAGAUCCCUUCUCUUAUAACAGCAGAUAGCAAAUCAUUUUUAGAAAGGUGGGUGGGGAACAUCUCAAAUGAUAAAGAUGCUUCAAGAAUUCAUCACAAAAGGAACACUUGGAAGAAACUUGGUUUAGAACUGAUCGUAGCUUAGUUCCAGGUUGGUAUUUUCCCACUUAACCCAGAAAUACAUUUCAUUUGAUGAUCACUACUACUUGAACCUCUGGAUGCAAACAAACAUGAAUAUAUACUGAUUCUGAAAAUUGUAACUGUUCUCUAGAGGGGAGGAAUUAAAACCUGAGCCGUUUGGCUAGUUUCCUUUUUCUUGAUGCUACUGCCACUUGCCUCUAGUGCUGCAAACCAUUUCAAAAUACCUGAAAUGACCAAAGCAAGAAAAGACAGCAAAUCAAGUUACUGAAUUGUGGGGGUUUAUUUUUUAGGUUUUGACCUGGUUUUCUAUGUAGUGCAAAACCAGCUCAUUGGCAUGUAUUGAAUUAUACUUGGAAAUUGGACCAUUAAUGGCAUUGCUGUGGCUCUGUUUCAACUGUAUUGCAAUUUCAAAUUCUACACUUUUUUUUAUAUCUAUUUUAAGAUGAGAGACAUAAAAAUGUAAGCGUGUUGAUUAUGGGGGUUUUUAUUAUUAAAGCCCACUGCUUUCAGAACUUGAAAGAAGAGGAUGGUUAUAAUUGAGGUGAUGGCUAAAAGAGUUGAAAAAGGUGGUGGCUUUUUCUAUUUGUCCUUUUGUUUGGUUUUUUUUUUAACUCCUUUUCCUUUUUUUCUCCUUUUCUAAUCCUCCUGCCUUUUUUCUCCUUCAUUUUUUCUCCUCCCUUUAUUCUCCUUUUCUCUUUCUCAAAUCAGAGCAGAUACAAAUGUAUAUUUGACUGUUCAAACAUAAAUCUAUACAUUUUAAAAAUGAUAACUUUCUAAAAGCAUCUUGCUCACUCCACAAUUAAUGUUACAUUUCUUACUGCCAAAGGUCCAAUGUGAUCUUUGCUUUUUUUUUUUUUGAAAGGAUUCCUAAAAUGAUGUUUACACCUUCAAAAUAAAUAUGAUUAUUUCUUCUUCUGUGGGCUUAGGGUUUUUUAAUGUAGUUUUUUGCCUGCAUAGCCAAUCUCAUGGAAAUGAACGACAGAUAUGGUAAACAGAGCAAGAUAAGAUGCCCUUUUUCAUGUAACUUACACUACUAAAUACCUAUGGUACUUUAAAAACAAGCUGGAAUUUGGAAUCUAAGUUCUCCAAAAGGUUACUUUGACGAUACAGUUGUAUUCAGCUGCAUGAUACUUCAAAAAUGCAAGAUGCUUGAUUUUAGCAAACUUCUCACCUGUGAGCAAGGAGCUGGGGCCUUGCUCCUUCCAAGGGGAAGAACACUCUGGCUGUCAUUUGUCGAUUAAAUAAGUGUAUAUGGAGACUUUAAAAUCUGUGACGUAAUUUCAUGUUACACUCUGGGUUGAAGCAGGAGAGAGGUUUAAACAGAAAACCAGGUAUAAAAUGGGAAACACUUCUUAGCUGAUACCACAGUAAUAAAAAGAAAAGAAAA
This is a long non-coding RNA of Strigops habroptila (Kakapo), 1618 nucleotides long. Lineage: Eukaryota; Metazoa; Chordata; Aves; Psittaciformes; Psittacidae. The record is from Ensembl.